This 515-nucleotide ribosomal RNA is filed under the name uncultured Acidobacteriota bacterium. Its description in RNAcentral is "bacterial SSU rRNA". It matches the Rfam family "Bacterial small subunit ribosomal RNA", at positions 355 to 885 of the family's 1533-position model. The record is from RNAcentral. Lineage: Bacteria; Pseudomonadati; Acidobacteriota.
UCGGGAAUUUUGCGCAAUGGACGAAAGUCUGACGCAGCAACGCCGCGUGAGGGAUGACGGCCUUCGGGUUGUAAACCUCUUUGUUCAGGGACGAUGAUGACGGUACCUGACGAAUAAGCCACGGCUAACUACGUGCCAGCAGCCGCGGUAAUACGUAGGUGGCAAGCGUUGUCCGGAUUUACUGGGCGUAAAGAGCGCGCAGGCGGUCGUUCAAGUCGCGUGUGAAAGCCCCCGGCUCAACUGGGGAGGGUCACGCGAUACUGAUCGACUCGAAGGCAGGAGAGGGUAGUGGAAUUCCCGGUGUAGUGGUGAAAUGCGUAGAUAUCGGGAGGAACACCAGUGGCGAAAGGCGACUACCUGGCCUGUUCUUGACGCUGAGGCGCGAAAGCUAGGGGAGCAAACGGGAUUAGAUACCCCGGUAGUCCUAGCCGUAAACGAUGGACACUAGGUGUUGGUGGUAUCAACCCCGCCAGUGCCGAAGCUAACGCAUUAAGUGUCCCGCCUGGGGAGUACGG